RNAcentral lists this ribosomal RNA (459 nucleotides) under uncultured bacterium. Its description in RNAcentral is "partial 16S ribosomal RNA". It matches the Rfam family "Bacterial small subunit ribosomal RNA", at positions 338 to 795 of the family's 1533-position model. The record is from RNAcentral.
CCUACGGGAGGCUGCAGUGAGGAAUAUUGGUCAAUGGCCGAAAGGCUGAACCAGCCAAGUCGCGUGAAGGACGAAGGCGCUAAGGAUUGUAAACUUCUUUUGUCAAGGGACAAAAUCAGGCUCAAGAGCCUGACCGAGGGUACUUGAAGAAAAAGCAUCGGCUAACUCCGUGCCAGCAGCCGCGGUAAUACGGAGGAGGCGAGCGUUAUCCGGAUUUAUUGGGUUUAAAGGGUGCGUAGGCGGAGGGUUAAGUCAGCGGUAAAAGCGCGGGGCUCAACCCCGUCGAGCCGUUGAAACUGGAUGCCUUGAGAUGUCGAGAGGUAUGCGGAAUGCGUGGUGUAGCGGUGAAAUGCUUAGAUAUUACGCAGAACUCCGAUUGCGAAGGCAGCAUACCGGCGGCGAACUGACGCUGAGGCACGAAAGCGUGGGUAUCGAACAGGAUUAGAUACCCUAGUAGUC